This 253-nucleotide ribosomal RNA is filed under the name uncultured bacterium. Its description in RNAcentral is "partial 16S ribosomal RNA". It matches the Rfam family "Bacterial small subunit ribosomal RNA", at positions 524 to 776 of the family's 1533-position model. The record is from RNAcentral.
UACGGGGGGGGCAAGCGUUGUUCGGAAUUACUGGGCGUAAAGGGCUCGUAGGCGGCCAACUAAGUCAGACGUGAAAUCCCUCGGCUUAACCGGGGAACUGCGUCUGAUACUGGAUGGCUUGAGUGUGGGAGAGGGAUGCGGAAUUCCAGGUGUAGCGGUGAAAUGCGUAGAUAUCUGGAGGAACACCGGUGGCGAAGGCGGCAUCCUGGACCACGACUGACGCUGAGGAGCGAAAGCGUGGGGAGCGAACAGG